RNAcentral lists this transfer RNA (69 nucleotides) under Pelophylax shqipericus (Albanian pool frog). Its description in RNAcentral is "tRNA-Asp". It matches the Rfam family "tRNA". From Rfam's summary of the family: Transfer RNA (tRNA) molecules are approximately 80 nucleotides in length. Their secondary structure includes four short double-helical elements and three loops (D, anti-codon, and T loops). The record is from RNAcentral. Lineage: Eukaryota; Metazoa; Chordata; Amphibia; Anura; Ranidae.
GAGGGGUUAGUUAAAUAAUAACACUGCCUUGUCAAGACAGAAUUACUAGUUAAAUUCUUGUACCCCUCU